Molecule: ribosomal RNA, 993 nt
Filed under: uncultured bacterium
Lineage: Bacteria
Description: bacterial SSU rRNA
Rfam family: Bacterial small subunit ribosomal RNA
Source: RNAcentral
CUUGCUCUGGUGGCGAGUGGCGAACGGGUGAGUAAUAUAUCGGAACGUACCCUAGAGUGGGGGAUAACGUAGCGAAAGUUACGCUAAUACCGCAUACGAUCUAAGGAUGAAAGUGGGGGAUCGCAAGACCUCAUGCUCGUGGAGCGGCCGAUAUCUGAUUAGCUAGUUGGUAGGGUAAAAGCCUACCAAGGCAUCGAUCAGUAGCUGGUCUGAGAGGACGACCAGCCACACUGGAACUGAGACACGGUCCAGACUCCUACGGGAGGCAGCAGUGGGGAAUUUUGGACAAUGGGCGAAAGCCUGAUCCAGCAAUGCCGCGUGAGUGAAGAAGGCCUUCGGGUUGUAAAGCUCUUUUGUCAGGGAAGAAACGGUGAGAGCUAAUAUCUUUUGCUAAUGACGGUACCUGAAGAAUAAGCACCGGCUAACUACGUGCCAGCAGCCGCGGUAAUACGUAGGGUGCAAGCGUUAAUCGGAAUUACUGGGCGUAAAGCGUGCGCAGGCGGUUUUGUAAGUCUGAUGUGAAAUCCCCGGGCUCAACCUGGGAAUUGCAUUGGAGACUGCAAGGCUAGAAUCUGGCAGAGGGGGGUAGAAUUCCACGUGUAGCAGUGAAAUGCGUAGAUAUGUGGAGGAACACCGAUGGCGAAGGCAGCCCCCUGGGUCAAGAUUGACGCUCAUGCACGAAAGCGUGGGGAGCAAACAGGAUUAGAUACCCUGGUAGUCCACGCCCUAAACGAUGUCUACUAGUUGUCGGGUCUUAAUUGACUUGGUAACGCAGCUAACGCGUGAAGUAGACCGCCUGGGGAGUACGGUCGCAAGAUUAAAACUCAAAGGAAUUGACGGGGACCCGCACAAGCGGUGGAUGAUUGUGGAUUAAUUCGAUGCAACGCGAAAAACCUUACCUACCCUUGACAUGGCUGGAAUCCUUGAGAGAUCAGGGAGUGCUCGAAAGAGAACCAGUACACAGGUGCUGCAUGGCUGUCGUCAGCUCGUGUC